RNAcentral lists this unclassified non-coding RNA (263 nucleotides) under uncultured fungus. RNAcentral describes it as "partial contains 5.8S ribosomal RNA, internal transcribed spacer 2, and large subunit ribosomal RNA". Lineage: Eukaryota; Fungi. The record is from RNAcentral.
AACGCACAUUGCGCCCCUUGGUAUUCCGAUGGGCAUGCCUGUUCGAGCGUCAUUAUCCUCCCUCAAACCUCGCGUUUGGUGUUGGACCACGUUGGUUCCUCCGGGAUCAACGGGUCUCAAAGACAAUGACGGCGUCCGUGGGACCCUCGGUGCAACGAGCUUUCCGAAGCACGCGUCGAGUCGAAAGGACCUUCGGGGCCGGUCUGACCUUUUCUUUUUGUCAGGUUGACCUCGAAUCAGGUAGGAAUACCCGCUGAACUUAA